RNAcentral lists this ribosomal RNA (252 nucleotides) under uncultured bacterium. Its description in RNAcentral is "partial 16S ribosomal RNA". It matches the Rfam family "Bacterial small subunit ribosomal RNA", at positions 524 to 776 of the family's 1533-position model. The record is from RNAcentral.
UACGGUAGGGUGCAAGCGUUAAUCGGAAUUACUGGGCGUAAAGCGUGCGCAGGCGGUGAUGUAAGACAGUUGUGAAAUCCCCGGGCUCAACCUGGGAACUGCAUCUGUGACUGCAUCGCUGGAGUACGGUAGAGGGGAUGGAAUUCCGCGUGUAGCAGUGAAAUGCGUAGAUAUGCGGAGGAACACCGAUGGCGAAGGCAAUCCCCUGGACCUGUACUGACGCUCAUGCACGAAAGCGUGGGAGCAAACAGG